Molecule: ribosomal RNA, 497 nt
Filed under: uncultured bacterium
Lineage: Bacteria
Description: partial 16S ribosomal RNA
Rfam family: Bacterial small subunit ribosomal RNA
Source: RNAcentral
GAUGAACGCUGGCGGCGUGCCUAAUACAUGCAAGUCGAGCGAACAGACGAGGAGCUUGCUCCUCUGACGUUAGCGGCGGACGGGUGAGUAACACGUGGAUAACCUACCUAUAAGACUGGGAUAACUUAGGGAAACCGGAGCUAAUACCGGAUAAUAUAUUGAACCGCAUGGUUCAAUAGUGAAAGACGGUUUUGCUGUCACUUAUAGAUGGAUCCGCGCCGCAUUAGCUAGUUGGUAAGGUAACGGCUUACCAAGGCAACGAUGCAUAGCCGACCUGAGAGGGUGAUCGGCCACACUGGAACUGAAACACGGUCCAGACUCCUACGGGAGGCAGCAGUAGGGAAUCUUCCGCAAUGGGCGAAAGCCUGACGGAGCAACGCCGCGUGAGUGAUGAAGGUCUUCGGAUCGUAAAACUCUGUUAUUAGGGAAGAACAAAUGUGUAAGUAACUAUGCACGUCUUGACGGUACCUAAUCAGAAAGCCACGGCUAACUACGUG